UGAUGUUGUCUCCUGGGGGAAGGGAUCAGCCAAUGAGGAGACCAAGGUGUCUCUUCGAUCGAAGAGAUUAUCCCCGUCUUCUCAACUGCUAAGAGAUUAUCCUCGUCUUCUCAACUGCUGCCUGAUCUGAGCCCUCUCAAACGCAAGCAAAGGAGUCCUCGGGGAACGGCGAGUGUACCAGCUCAAUCGCCUCCUCGAGCAACCGCCGCUCUCGAUGUCUCGGUCGAAAAGGGGACGUCUGGCGUGUCCUCACAAUCGCCAACUCGAAGGACCGUCAUGCCUGAUGAAUCGACUAGAGAUGCUACUGACGACUUGACAUUGCCUGGUCCAUAUGUAACUCCUCCACCGGCUUCGCCUACCGGACCAAGAACAAAGAAGACUAUCGAUUGAGGUGCAAACAAAGGCUGUUAGUGCCUUGACCAGUCAUCUGGGGCUAACUUCCCCGGUUGACUUGGCCUCGGCUCCAAUCAGAGAUCCUGCCUCGAGUGCGCCCGAAGAAGACCCGCAGCUCAGGGGAAGUGA
Molecule: long non-coding RNA, 522 nt
Organism: Phragmites australis (common reed)
Lineage: Eukaryota; Viridiplantae; Streptophyta; Magnoliopsida; Poales; Poaceae
Exons: 5
Source: RefSeq, a predicted model, not a curated record